UACGGAGGGUGCGAGCGUUGUCCGGAAUCAUUGGGCGUAAAGGGCGCGUAGGUGGCCUGGCAAGCGUGCGGUGAAAGCUCGGGGCUCAACCCCGAGUCGGCCGUGCGAACUGCUAUGGCUCGAGCACUGUAGAGGCAGGCGGAAUUCCGGGUGUAGCGGUGGAAUGCGUAGAGAUCCGGAAGAACACCGGUGGCGAAGGCGGCCUGCUGGGCAGUAGCUGACACUGAGGCGCGAAAGCGUGGGGAGCGAACAGG
This 254-nucleotide ribosomal RNA is filed under the name uncultured bacterium. RNAcentral's name for it is "partial 16S ribosomal RNA". It matches the Rfam family "Bacterial small subunit ribosomal RNA", at positions 524 to 776 of the family's 1533-position model. The record is from RNAcentral.